This 337-nucleotide unclassified non-coding RNA is filed under the name Hevea brasiliensis (rubber tree). The record is from RNAcentral. Lineage: Eukaryota; Viridiplantae; Streptophyta; Magnoliopsida; Malpighiales; Euphorbiaceae.
AAAAAAAGAAAGAACCAUUCAUUGGAAUCUUCAAUUAUGGAGGACAGUCGACAGGGUAUUUACUCAGUCAGGAUUAAAAGAACAACUCUUAAAGUAGCCAAUAAGGUUGCUGAAGGGGAAAUAGAAAACAUCUUUCCCGAAAACAUCAAUUACUCUCCUUGUAUUUGAUUUUCACUAGAUUCAAAGUUUCUUCACUAAUCAUUGGUUUUUCCCUUGUAAAUUAUUUGCCCAUUUCCUUGUAUUUGUUGCUGCGUAUUUUUAGACCCCUUUCUCUAGAUAUGCUGAGCUCAUCACCCAAAGGUUGGGUUAUAUUCCCCUUAUUUGGAAAGUAGAAUUU